Non-coding RNA from Lyngbya confervoides, 97 nucleotides. The record is from Rfam. Lineage: Bacteria; Bacillati; Cyanobacteriota; Cyanophyceae; Oscillatoriales; Microcoleaceae.
GACCUGGACCCAUGCGGUCACAACGCCCAAACCAUGUCAGGACCGGAAGGUAGCAGCAUUACGGGAUGCUUGUGACAGGCGUGGACUCCGGGUCUCU